AUGGUUUGGGUGGGAAGGGACCUUAAAGUCCCCCCAGUGCCACCCCCUGCCCUGGGCAGGGACACCUCCCACCAGACCAGGUUGCUCCAAGCCCCCUCCAACCUGGCCUUGAACCCCUCCAGGGAUGGGGCAGCCACAGCUUCUCUGGGCAACCUGGGCCAGGCUCUCACCACCCUCACAGCAAAGAAGUUCUUCCUGAGGUCUCAUCUCAAUCUCCACUCUUCCAGUUUGAAGCCCUUAUCUCUCAUCAUUACAUGCCCUUGUAAAAAGUCCCUUCCCAGUUUUCUUGUAGGCCCCCUUCAGAUACUGGAAAGCUGCUCUAAGAUCUCCCCAGAGCCUUCUCUUCUCCAGGCUGAACCCCCCAACUCUCUCAGCCCCCCCCUCCCAGCAGAGGGGCUCCAGCCCUCCCAGCAUCUCCGGGGCCUCCUCUGGCCAACAGCUCCGUGUCCCUCUGAUGUUGGUGGCCCCAGAGCUGGAGGGAGCACUGGGCGGGGGAGGGGGUCUCCCCAGAGCGGAGCAGAGGGGCAGAUUUCCCCCCCUGACCCUGCUGCCCACGCUGCUGGGGAUGCAGCCCAGGGUGUGGGGGGCUUUCCGGGCUGCCAGUGCCCGGGGCCGGCCCAUGGCCAGCUUGUCACCCCCAGCUCCUCUCGGAGGGACACCCUCCACCCCUCCCUCCCCGCCCAGCCCCCUCACCCACAGCCUCACACCAGUUCCCUGCCAAACGAAACCGGGCAGCGGAGCGGCCGCCCCCACCCGAGGGCCAGGGCUGCCCGGGGAGCGGGACUCCGCCUGCUCGGCCUUGCUCAGAGAGAACCCGGGUCCCCGGGAAGGACGCGCCUUCCCGCGACACCCGCCUCACCCACAAACGAGCAGGCCCCCCCAGGCCCGGCAGGCGAGAAGCCCCCCCUCCCGCCCCGCCAGCUGCCGCCCGGGCGGGCCCUCAGCGCCCCGGCGGGCGGCCGAGGCGGCGGGAAGCGGAAGCGGAAGCCGUCACGGCAGCCCCGCCCGCUGCGCAGCCCCCCCAAAGCGCAUGCUCCGCUCUGCCCAGCCGGGCGCGGCGAUUCUGACUGCGUCGCAGGCUGA
Molecule: long non-coding RNA, 1083 nt
Filed under: Calidris pugnax (ruff)
Lineage: Eukaryota; Metazoa; Chordata; Aves; Charadriiformes; Scolopacidae
Description: lncRNA (ENSCPUG00000008020.1)
Source: RNAcentral